This 234-nucleotide long non-coding RNA is filed under the name Phoenix dactylifera (date palm). Its description in RNAcentral is "long non-coding RNA (PDAC_LNC013209)". The record is from RNAcentral. Lineage: Eukaryota; Viridiplantae; Streptophyta; Magnoliopsida; Arecales; Arecaceae.
GGUUAUCCCGUUUCUGUUUCUAUUUUUUAAGAUAACUUACAUUAUUUUUGAACACUUUCGGUUUCUUUAAAGAUGGAUUUUUCCUCUUCUCCUCUCAACCCUUCUUUUCUGCUCAAUCUCACAUUUAGUUCCAUCCCCCUGCCCAACCGCUCUUUGAGCCUCACAAGCCAUCAAUCUGCCUAAUAUCGAGCUAUCCAUCAUUUCAGCCAUGUCGCUAGCCUCAACUCAUUUUUU